AUUGGCCUUUGGAGACAUUUCAACACACAGUUGUAUUUGCUAAGAAACUCUCGUGACUCUUCGAACCCACCGAGUCCUGACAAUUCUCAAUCACGGGUAUAAUACCUCGUGGUGCCACCCUAAUUAAACUAUUCUUUUUUUGGUCUGGAGAUGGAACAUUCAUUGAUCAACAACCCUUUUGAUCACUGUAUAAAACCACCCCCAAAAUUUUUACAAACACAAGCUCAUCCAAUCACUUUGGUUUAGUAGUAAAGUACUGAAGCCAUGGCAGCAGGGAAGUUUGUUGUUCUGAUGGUAAUGGUCGUAUUAAUGGUUGAGGGCUCAAGGGCAAUGACCUUGUGUCGCAUGAAUGAUCAGGGACUUGAGGCGUGCAAGCCAUCGGUGACACAGCCGAACCCGGUCGACCCAUCACCCGAGUGUUGCAAGGCUCUGAAAGGGGCUGACUUGACAUGCUUGUGUUCUUAUAAGAAUUCGGUGUGGCUAGGUACUUUGGGGAUUGAUCCAAAACUUGCCUUGGAUUUGCCUCCAAAGUGCAAGCUCCAAAUGCCUAGUGUUUGCUAAGGUUUCCAGAAGAGCAUGAAGCUGCUUUCUCAUGUUUGUUGGACUUUCACAAGUUUCUUUGUAUUGUUUUGAUGUGAAAAUCUUUGCAAAUCUUGUAUCUGUUUCGUGUUAAAUUAUUAUUUGGUUAUUGAAGUUUGUACGGACAAGUGAGUGGAAUUGGCCGCCUUCUGCUCUUUUUAAUUCUCAUUACUCUUUUUAUGUUUUUGGUGUUCACAA
This is a long non-coding RNA of Gossypium arboreum, 777 nucleotides long. RefSeq lists it as uncharacterized. NCBI's taxonomy places the organism in Eukaryota, Viridiplantae, Streptophyta, Magnoliopsida, Malvales, Malvaceae. The record is from RefSeq and is a predicted model, not a curated record. The transcript has 2 exons.